GAUGAACGCUGGCGGCGUGCCUAACACAUGCAAGUCGAGCGAAGCGCUUAAAUUAGAUUUCUUCGGAAUGACGAUUUUUGUGAAUGAGCGGCGGACGGGUGAGUAACGCGUGGGUAACCUGCCUCAUACAGGGGGAUAACAGUUAGAAAUGACUGCUAAUACCGCAUAAGACCCCAGCUUCGCAUGAAGCGGUGGUAAAAACUCCGGUGGUAUGAGAUGGACCCGCGUCUGAUUAGCUAGUUGGUAAGGUAACGGCUUACCAAGGCGACGAUCAGUAGCCGACCUGAGAGGGUGACCGGCCACAUUGGGACUGAGACACGGCCCAGACUCCUACGGGAGGCAGCAGUGGGGAAUAUUGCACAAUGGGGGAAACCCUGAUGCAGCGACGCCGCGUGAAGGAUGAAGUAUUUCGGUAUGUAAACUUCUAUCAGCAGGGAAGAAAGUGACGGUACCUGACUAAGAAGCCCCGGCUAACUACGU
This 480-nucleotide ribosomal RNA is filed under the name uncultured bacterium. RNAcentral describes it as "partial 16S ribosomal RNA". It matches the Rfam family "Bacterial small subunit ribosomal RNA", at positions 28 to 506 of the family's 1533-position model. The record is from RNAcentral.